RNAcentral lists this ribosomal RNA (460 nucleotides) under uncultured bacterium. Its description in RNAcentral is "partial 16S ribosomal RNA". It matches the Rfam family "Bacterial small subunit ribosomal RNA", at positions 338 to 795 of the family's 1533-position model. The record is from RNAcentral.
CCUACGUGUGGCAGCAGUGAGGAAUAUUGGUCAAUGGGCGAGAGCCUGAACCAGCCAAGUAGCGUGAAGGAUGACUGCACUACGGGUUGUAAACUUCUUUUAUAAAGGAAUAAAGUGAGGCACGUGUGCCUUUUUGUAUGUACUUUAUGAAUAAGGAUCGGCGAACUCCGUGCCAGCAGCCGCGGUAAUACGGAGGAUCCGAGCGUUAUCCGGAUUUAUUGGGUUUAAAGGGAGCGUAGAUGGGUUGUUAAGUCAGUUGUGAAAGUUUGCGGCUAAACCGUAAAAUUGCAAUUGAUACUGGCAGUCUUGAGUACAGUUGAGGUAGGCGGAAUUCGUGGUGUAGCGGUGAAAUGCUUAGAUAUCACGAAGAACUCCGAUUGAGAAGGCAGCUUACUAAACUGCCACUGACAUUGAUGCUCGAAAGUGUGGGUAUCAAACAGGAUUAGAUACCCUUGUAGUC